Molecule: ribosomal RNA, 451 nt
Filed under: uncultured Fibrobacter sp.
Lineage: Bacteria; Pseudomonadati; Fibrobacterota; Fibrobacteria; Fibrobacterales; Fibrobacteraceae
Description: bacterial SSU rRNA
Rfam family: Bacterial small subunit ribosomal RNA
Source: RNAcentral
ACGGGAGGCAGCAGUAGGGGAUAUUGCACAAUGGGGGGAACCCUGAUGCAGCAACGCCACGUGUGGGAAGAAGCAUUUCGGUGUGUAAACCACUGUCGUGAGGGAAUAAUGCUUGGUCUCGGCCAAGUUGAAUGUACCUCGAAAGGAAGCACCGGCAAACUUCGUGCCAGCAGCCGCGGUAAUACGAGGGGUGCAAGCGUUGUUCGGAAUCACUGGGCGUAAAGGGAGCGUAGGCGGUGCCGCAAGCAGUCUGUACAAUGCCGGGGCCCAACCCCGGACCUGCAGACUGGACUGUGUCUCUUGGAUAGUUCAGGGGCAGGCGGAAUUCCUGGUGUAGCGGUGGAAUGCGUAGAGAUCAGGAAGAACCCCGAUGGCGAAGGCAGCCUGCUGGGGACUCAUCGACGCUGAGGCUCGAAAGUGCGGGUAGCAAACAGGAUUAGAUCCCCUGGUA